GUGUCAGCCGCCGCGGUAACACGUAGGAUCCGAGCGUUAUCCGAAUUUACUGGGCGUAAAGCGCGUGUAGGCGGUUUAGUAAGUUGGAUGUGAAAGCUCCUGGCUCAACUGGGAGAGGCCGUUCAAAACUACUAAACUAGAGGACGGUAGAGGGAGGUGGAAUUCCCGGUGUAGUAGUGAAAUGCGUAGAUAUCGGGAGGAACACCAGUGGCGAAGGCGGCCUCCUGGACCGUUCCUGACGCUCAGACGCGAAAGCUAGGGGAGCGAACGGGAUUAGAAACCCUGGUAGUCC
This 292-nucleotide ribosomal RNA is filed under the name uncultured bacterium. RNAcentral's name for it is "partial 16S ribosomal RNA". It matches the Rfam family "Bacterial small subunit ribosomal RNA", at positions 505 to 796 of the family's 1533-position model. The record is from RNAcentral.